CUGGAGGCUUGGGGCGAUACCACCACUCGUUUGUCUGUUGGCGAUUAGUGUUGUCCCCCCGAGUGGCCAG
Molecule: microRNA precursor, 70 nt
Organism: Human gammaherpesvirus 8
Lineage: Duplodnaviria; Heunggongvirae; Peploviricota; Herviviricetes; Herpesvirales; Orthoherpesviridae
Rfam family: mir-K12-10 microRNA precursor family
Source: Rfam